AACGAACGCUGGCGGCAUGCCUAACACAUGCAAGUCGAACGAUUGCCUUCGGGUGAUAGUGGCGCACGGGUGCGUAACGCGUGGGAAUCUGCCCUUAGGUUCGGAAUAACAGCUGGAAACGGCUGCUAAUACCGGAUGAUAUCACGAGAUCAAAGAUUUAUCGCCUGAGGAUGAGCCCGCGUUGGAUUAGGUAGUUGGUGGGGUAAAGGCCUACCAAGCCGACGAUCCAUAGCUGGUCUGAGAGGAUGAUCAGCCACACUGGGACUGAGACACGGCCCAGACUCCUACGGGAGGCAGCAGUGGGGAAUAUUGGACAAUGGGCGCAAGCCUGAUCCAGCAAUGCCGCGUGAGUGAUGAAGGCCCUAGGGUUGUAAAGCUCUUUUACCCGGGAAGAUAAUGACUGUACCGGGAGAAUAAGCCCCGGCUAACUCCGUG
This 435-nucleotide ribosomal RNA is filed under the name uncultured bacterium. Its description in RNAcentral is "partial 16S ribosomal RNA". It matches the Rfam family "Bacterial small subunit ribosomal RNA", at positions 29 to 507 of the family's 1533-position model. The record is from RNAcentral.